AGAGUUUGAUCCUGGCUCAGGACGAACGCUGGCGGCGCGCCUAACACAUGCAAGUCGAACGAGAGAUGAGGAGCUUGCUCUUCAAAUCGAGUGGCGAACGGGUGAGUAACGCGUGAGGAACCUGCCUCAAAGAGGGGGACAACAGUUGGAAACGACUGCUAAUACCGCAUAAGCCCACGGCUCGGCAUCGAGCAGAGGGAAAAGGAGCAAUCCGCUUUGAGAUGGCCUCGCGUCCGAUUAGCUAGUUGGUGAGGUAACGGCCCACCAAGGCGACGAUCGGUAGCCGGACUGAGAGGUUGAACGGCCACAUUGGGACUGAGACACGGCCCAGACUCCUACGGGAGGCAGCAGUGGGGAAUAUUGCACAAUGGGGGAAACCCUGAUGCAGCGACGCCGCGUGGAGGAAGAAGGUCUUCGGAUUGUAAACUCCUGUUGUUGAGGAAGAUAAUGACGGUACUCAACAAGGAAGUGACGGCUAACUACGUGCCAGCAGCCGCGGUAAAACGUAGGUCACAAGCGUUGUCCGGAAUUACUGGGUGUAAAGGGAGCGCAGGCGGGAGAACAAGUUGGAAGUGAAAUCCAUGGGCUCAACCCAUGAACUGCUUUCAAAACUGUUUUUCUUGAGUAGUGCAGAGGUAGGCGGAAUUCCCGGUGUAGCGGUGGAAUGCGUAGAUAUCGGGAGGAACACCAGUGGCGAAGGCGGCCUACUGGGCACCAACUGACGCUGAGGCUCGAAAGUGUGGGUAGCAAACAGGAUUAGAUACCCUGGUAGUCCACACCGUAAACGAUGAUUACUAGGUGUUGGAGGAUUGACCCCUUCAGUGCCGCAGUUAACACAAUAAGUAAUCCACCUGGGGAGUACGACCGCAAGGUUGAAACUCAAAGGAAUUGACGGGGGCCCGCACAAGCAGUGGAGUAUGUGGUUUAAUUCGACGCAACGCGAAGAACCUUACCAAGUCUUGACAUCCCUUGACGAUGCUGGAAACAGUAUUUCUCUUCGGAGCAAGGAGACAGGUGGUGCAUGGUUGUCGUCAGCUCGUGUCGUGAGAUGUUGGGUUAAGUCCCGCAACGAGCGCAACCCUUAUGGUCAGUUACUACGCAAGAGGACUCUGGCCAGACUGCCGUUGACAAAACGGAGGAAGGUGGGGAUGACGUCAAAUCAUCAUGCCCUUUAUGACUUGGGCUACACACGUACUACAAUGGCGUUAAACAUAGAGAAGCAAGACCGCGAGGUGGAGCAAAACUCAGAAACAACGUCCCAGUUCGGACUGCAGGCUGCAACUCGCCUGCACGAAGUCGGAAUUGCUAGUAAUCGUGGAUCAGCAUGCCACGGUGAAUACGUUCCCGGGCCUUGUACACACCGCCCGUCA
Molecule: ribosomal RNA, 1370 nt
Filed under: uncultured bacterium
Lineage: Bacteria
Description: bacterial SSU rRNA
Rfam family: Bacterial small subunit ribosomal RNA
Source: RNAcentral